RNAcentral lists this ribosomal RNA (451 nucleotides) under uncultured Pirellula sp. Its description in RNAcentral is "bacterial SSU rRNA". It matches the Rfam family "Bacterial small subunit ribosomal RNA", at positions 100 to 561 of the family's 1533-position model. The record is from RNAcentral. Lineage: Bacteria; Pseudomonadati; Planctomycetota; Planctomycetia; Pirellulales; Pirellulaceae.
UAAGGGAGAGGAACACGUGGUUUAUCUGCCCUCAGGUCCGGGACAGCUGCGGGAAACUGCAGGUAAUACCGGAUGAUAUCUCCGGAUCAAAGGUGUGAUUCCGCCUGAGGAUGAGACCGCGUCCUAUUAGCUUGUUGGUGGGGUAAUGGCCUACCAAGGCAAUGAUGGGUACCGGGUGUGAGAGCACGACCCGGCUCACUGGGACUGAGACACUGGGCAGACACCUACGGGUGGCUGCAGUCGAGGAUCUUCGGCAAUGGGCGCAAGCCUGACCGAGCGACGCCGCGUGUGGGAUGAAGGCCUUCGGGUUGUAAACCACUGUCAGAGGGGAUGAAAUGCGUAGGGGUACUCUCCUACGUUUGACAUAGCCUCAGAGGAAGUACGGGCUAAGUUCGUGCCAGCAGCCGCGGUAAGACGAACCGUACAAACGUUAUUCGGAAUCACUGGGCUU